UUACCCUCACUUUGUAGGUGGGAAACCAGUGACGAGGGUUAAGUCCCUCCCUGAACCUACAUUUCACUGUAGCGAUCCUUCGCCAGCUGGGUUUCCUUUGCUUGAAAUCCAAGUGCUUUUGGACUCGCUUUUGCAUGUUUCGAGUUACUCCUGUUGGUGACCACUGUUCAGAGAAAAGCUGGCAGUUAGACUCGAGGCAGGGACAAAUCCGGAGGAUUCUGCGGCGGAGGGACAGGGAGGGGAAGCGGCUUUCCCACGUGGGCUGGCUUUCCGCGAAGGGCGGGGACUGGUGGUGCCUGGUCUGGAACGCUCACUUGCUCACUCGUGGGCACGAGUCCCGCUGGGAUCCUCUGGAAGCGGGAGGCGGGUGAGCAUCCUUCCGUCCUUUCACUAAAAGCUCCUCAAGGCAGCCCCACAGUCACGCCCCAAGUGACUGCUCUGGGGCCACGCGGUGGGAUCAGCAGUGGAGACACUAACUCUGAGACUGGAAACCUUUUUUAAAAAAAUAUAUUUUUUGUUGAUUUCAGAGAGGAAGGGAGAGGGAGAGAGUUCAUAGGUCGAUGCUCAACCACUGAGCCAGGCUGGCCAGGCUGGAGAUCUGUUAAUCUGUUAAAUGUAGCUGGGGGACCAGGCAAAGCGCACAGCAAAUGCUGCUUAGCACGUGUCCGAGCUUCGGAAGCAGAGCGAGCGUAAGGCGCCUCGCUGAACGCACGGCUGUCCCGCACACUCUCCCGUGGGCCUGAGCUGCGGGGGGCAAGUGCAAUGAACCAGCCUCAUGGCUACAGAUCCGUGUGGGAAAUGUCGCCUAUAUCGUCUGUCUCGGUCCUAAGGUCUCCUGUUUCCCAGCCUCCGAAUCCCCACCCCAGCCCUCGGUGCACGUACACAACUGAAUCUCGGCCCAGCGCUCACGUUGUUGACCUGGAGGCCAAGGACGUCGCACACGUAUUGCCAGGCCCCAGGGCGGUGUGUGCCUUGUGCUUUGGGAAGCACGGCUCUGCCCGGGGCGAGGUGGGGUGGGGAGGGGACGGCGUUCCAGCCGGUCACGGAGAAUAUGGGCUCCCUAGAAGGGGAGGCCAUCUCCCACAGAGAGCACAGCGCGGCUUGUUCGGGAGCCCCCUUGCCUGAGAUCAGGGGAGCAGGGCAAGGAGGCGACAAUCUAAUGGACCCCCGCCCCCCGGCCGCCAAGCCAUUGGCUGUAGGACUUGGGGCUCACAGUGUUAGCAGAUCUAUUUGGGGAAAUUGGCUGGUAGAGGAAUGACAGUCUUAGAAAGGAGAGCACUCUUGCCGCCCACAGGAGCCACAUGCUGAGGGCGGAGCUGGGCAGUGUCUGUCUACAGAGCUGGAGCUGCCUGGGAGUUUGAAAGCGCUCCAGUUUGAUCCACCACCACCAUUUGGAAGGCAGACAACUGAGUUCAUUCAUUAAGUUAGUUCCUUCACUGCCCAGCAGCAACUGAUGAGUAGGAAGCCUUAUGAAAUUCUCCCUUUUUAUCGUCAUCGCUAUCAUCAAAGAUAUUCAUUGACCUUCGGUUGGAUGGCGGCCCCCAGUCUCAAAGCCUUGCUGCGAGUUGGGAAAACAGACACAAAUGUAGGUCGGAGGUCAUCCACAGGAAACAGGAGGUAAUGUUUACCUUGAUCUGAAUGACUGUGGAUGGCAAUGGUGACAAAGGUAAUUACAUUUAAGUGAUAUUUUAACUUAAACAUUCCUUUGGAAAUACCUGGGAGUCACCCAGUUCAAUACAACUAUCACCCAACAUGCACGAGUUGUUCCAGAAGCAAACAGUGCUGCCGGGGGAGAGGGCCGCGCGGCUGCAAGACCGGGUCCGAACCUCUAGUCCAUAAAGGAACCCUUCCCGGCUCCUCACGCCCGCGCAUUGCGGGCAAGCCUGGCACUGGCAUCGCUUUGCCCUAAACACUUCACAGGGCACAACACGGGCAACGGAAGCUGAGCUUCUUGGAAAACAUUCUGUGAGGACUUCAUGCUGCGUGGAUUUACUCAGCUCUCAGGAACGCAGAGGCAUCUAAACGGAGGCAGUCGGCUGCGACCCAGGACACACACGCCCUUUCUAUGCCUGCGGAACAGAGCAGCUCACACUCUCCGCAGCCACACUGGGCGUCUGCUCAGGCUUCCUGAGACCCAGGAAGAGCGCUCCUCCUCCUCUAAGCAAAGCGUCCUUCUGGGGAAAGAUGUGCAGGGCGGAUUAAUACUGGCUUUUUUCCCUUCUUCUUAGGUGGCUUUGUGCCAAUGGAAGAAAAAAACACCCAAAGAUAACAAAGACCUGUAGACACCCCCAGCCCUGGGCUCGCCUCCUUUCUUUGGGCGUUAAAAGGCUCCCCUUCUGUGCGGCAAUGACAGGCCUGCCACCCCCUCCGGUGAGAUAAGGUGCCCUGGCUCAGCGCCCUGUUAGCCAUCAUUACAUCCCCGUAACCCUGCUGCCUGACCUGAUGGGCCAGGAGCCAGAGCCGGGAGGGAGAAGACACGCCCUGUGCAUUUAAGUCGAACACAGACUCUCAAACUGCCUAAAGAAACCCGCUUUUUUAUUUUUUCAAGGAUUAUGAGGGAAAAACCCCACACACAUCAAAACUAUGUUCAAAAUGUAUGAGAUAUCCCGGUAGAUUAAUGAGGCUUUGGGGCCAAUGUUCUGUAUUCUCAUGGGAAUAGACUCUCGUUUACAUUCACUGAUUUAAUUUUUUAAUUAAAAAAUUUAAAAGCUUUUGUUUUAA
This is a long non-coding RNA of Myotis myotis, 2721 nucleotides long. RefSeq lists it as uncharacterized. The record is from RefSeq and is a predicted model, not a curated record. NCBI's taxonomy places the organism in Eukaryota, Metazoa, Chordata, Mammalia, Chiroptera, Vespertilionidae. The transcript has 3 exons.